GAAAAAAAUAAGUUUAGGAACCAGUUGAUAACAGCUUAUAUUAUUUAAGCUGAUGGAAAUCAUGUGUAGUAUUCGUGAAAUAAAGUAACUAGAACAAUUUAAUUCCAGGCCUUGUCGAGAUAAGCCACGUUGUGCCAAGGAGAAGAGUUAUUGAAGAAAAAAACAAGCAACUCACAGUGAUGGGUUAGAAAUUUGUGGCAACCUUUGGAUGAAAACUUAACCAAAGAAAUAAAAGAUAUCGUUGGAAUAAACCACGGAUAAUACGUUCGCCAAACUCUAAACUGCAAUGCUGCAAUAUACACACGACGUGGUUCUUUAUGUUUAUAAUUAUAAAAAUAUAUGCAUGAGAAUUUUGCGUGUGUUUUAAUUGUGCACAUCUUUUUCCCGCGCAUUUAUUUUCGCAAACCGAACGUUUGGGACAGAUUUUCGCGCACUUCUUACUGGUGAAAUAGAAUAAAAUUACCAUGUACUGUUUUGUGUGACUGUGAAAUGCUUAAUCACUCUUUGAUUAAUGCAAAGCGAGCAUUACAAUUCCACAGCAAUUAUGCAUGUUGUCUUAAAAAAAGAAAACAACUCCAUUUGCAGUUUCGCUCAAUCUAAUUUUUACAGGCAAUCUAAUCCUUACAAAUAAUAUUCCACGUGCAUUAAUUAUAAUUUAUGAAACAAUUCAGCUUCUCUCGAACAUAUUGGCACACUGGUAGAACUCCUUUAUUAAAACUUUUAAUAUUUUCAACCUUACUAAAGGCACCGAAAUGAAGAGGAUUUUUUGCAUUGAAACAUUCGAGCAAAAUAACUGGUUGGGUUCCAAUUUCCAGCCAUUUGACUCCAAUUUCAGUUGUUAAAGUAUUUCUGCUCGUGUAGGGUACUGUAAGGAAUUUUGGUCCACUGGUAGAUCUAUUAAUGGGAAACCUUAAAUAUUAUAAACCUUGCGGGGAUCUAAAAGCUCCUACAUGUUAGAACGCUUCACACUUGAGCAUCGUUA
This is a long non-coding RNA of Hydractinia symbiolongicarpus, 982 nucleotides long. RefSeq lists it as uncharacterized. NCBI's taxonomy places the organism in Eukaryota, Metazoa, Cnidaria, Hydrozoa, Anthoathecata, Hydractiniidae. The transcript has 3 exons. The record is from RefSeq and is a predicted model, not a curated record.